Molecule: ribosomal RNA, 459 nt
Filed under: uncultured bacterium
Lineage: Bacteria
Description: partial 16S ribosomal RNA
Rfam family: Bacterial small subunit ribosomal RNA
Source: RNAcentral
GAUGAACGCUGGCGGCGUGCCUAAUACAUGCAAGUCGAGCGGUGAGGCCACUUCGGUGGUACACGAGCGGCGGACGGCUGAGUAACACGUAGGAACGUACCCCAAACUGAGGGAUAAGCACCAGAAAUGGUGUCUAAUACCGCAUGUGAUCUUCGGAUUAAAGCUACGGCGGUUUGGGAACGGCCUGCGCAUGAUUAGUUUGUUGGUGAGGUAAUGGCUCACCAAGGCUACGAUCAUUAGCUGGUCUGAGAGGAUGAUCAGCAUCACUGGGACUGAGACACGGCCCAGACUCCUACGGGAGGCAGCAGUGGGGAAUAUUGGACAAUGGGCGCAAGCCUGAUCCAGCCAUGCCGCGUGGAUGAUGAAGGCCUUAGGGUUGUAAAGUCCUUUUAACGGGGAAGAUAAUGACGGUACCCGUAGAAUAAGCCCCGGCUAACUUCGUGCCAGCAGCCGCGGUAA